GAUGAACGCUGGCGGCGUGCCUAAUACAUGCAAGUCGAGCGAACGGACGAGAAGCUUGCUUCUCUGAUGUUAGCGGCGGACGGGUGAGUAACACGUGGAUAACCUACCUAUAAGACUGGGAUAACUUCGGGAAACCGGAGCUAAUACCGGAUAAUAUUAUGAACCGCAUGGUUCAACAGUGAAAGACGGUCUUGCUGUCACUUAUAGAUGGAUCCGCGCUGCAUUAGCUAGUUGGUAAGGUAACGGCUUACCAAGGCAACGAUGCAUAGCCGACCUGAGAGGGUGAUCGGCCACACUGGAACUGAGACACGGUCCAGACUCCUACGGGAGGCAGCAGUAGGGAAUCUUCCGCAAUGGGCGAAAGCCUGACGGAGCAACGCCGCGUGAGUGAUGAAGGUCUUCGGAUCGUAAAACUCUGUUAUUAGGGAAGAACAUAUGUGUAAGUAACUGUGCACAUCUUGACGGUACCUAAUCAGAAAGCCACGGCUAACUACGUG
Molecule: ribosomal RNA, 497 nt
Filed under: uncultured bacterium
Lineage: Bacteria
Description: partial 16S ribosomal RNA
Rfam family: Bacterial small subunit ribosomal RNA
Source: RNAcentral